Molecule: non-coding RNA, 136 nt
Organism: Paramuricea clavata
Lineage: Eukaryota; Metazoa; Cnidaria; Anthozoa; Malacalcyonacea; Plexauridae
Source: the annotation of a GenBank genome assembly
AUUAUAUAAAACAAAUGGAUAAGAUUUUGCCGUUGUCUGUUCAGUUAUUAUAUAGAUACACAGUAUGACGUCAUAAUGCGUAUCUAUAACUGAACAGACAACGACAAAAUCUUAUCUAUUUGUUAAAUAUAAUUUU